Molecule: ribosomal RNA, 497 nt
Filed under: uncultured bacterium
Lineage: Bacteria
Description: partial 16S ribosomal RNA
Rfam family: Bacterial small subunit ribosomal RNA
Source: RNAcentral
GAUGAACGCUGGCGGCGUGCCUAAUACAUGCAAGUCGAACGAACGGACGAGAAGCUUGGUUUUUUGCUGUUAGCGGGGGGCGGGGGAGUGACACGUGGAUAACAUACCUAUAUGACUGGGGGAACAUCGGGGGACAGGAGCUAAUACCGCACAAUAGAUCGAACCGCGGGGUCCAAGAGUGAAAGACGGUCGUGCUGUCACGUAAGCAUGGAUCCGCGCUGCAUUAGCUAGUUGGUAAGGUAACGGCCUACCAAGGCAACGAUGCAUAGCCGGCCUGAGAGGUUGAUCGGCCACACUGGAACUGAGACACGGUCCAGACUCCUACGGGAGGCACCAGUGGGGAAUCUUCCGCAAUGGGCGAAAGCCUGACGGAGCAACCCCGCGUGAGUGAUGCAGGUCUUCGGUUCGUAAACCUCUUUUAUUGGGGAAGAACACCUUCUUGCGAAUCUUGGCACGGAUUGACGGUACCUAAACAGAAAGCCACGGCUAACUACGUG